AACGCUGCGGCGUGCUUAACACAUGCAAGUCGAACGAGGCAGCGGCCUUCGGGCCGUUGUCGAGUGGCGAACGGGUGAGUAACACGUGAGGAACCUGCCCCGGAGACCGGGAUAACCAGGGGAAACUCUGGCUAAUACCGGAUGCCCCCGGAUGGUCGCAUGGCCAACCGAGGAAACGCUCCGGUGCUCCGGGAGGGCCUCGCGGCCUAUCAGCUUGUUGGUGGGGUAACGGCCCACCAAGGCAUCGACGGGUAGCUGGUCUGAGAGGACGAUCAGCCACACUGGGACUGAGACACGGCCCAGACUCCUACGGGAGGCAGCAGUGGGGAAUAUUGCGCAAUGGGCGAAAGCCUGACGCAGCAACGCCGCGUGGGGGAUUAAGGCCUUCGGGUUGUAAACCCCUUUCAGCAGGGACGAAAAUGACGGUACCUGCAGAAGAAGCCCGGCCAACUACGUGCCAGCAGCCGCGGUAACACGUAGGGGGCAAGCGUUGUCCGGAUUUAUUGGGCGUAAAGAGCUCGUAGGCGG
RNAcentral lists this ribosomal RNA (528 nucleotides) under uncultured sponge symbiont JAWS7. Its description in RNAcentral is "bacterial SSU rRNA". It matches the Rfam family "Bacterial small subunit ribosomal RNA", at positions 32 to 578 of the family's 1533-position model. The record is from RNAcentral.